CAGUCGCCGCGGGAAUACGUAGGGUGCAAGCGUUAAUCGGAAUUACUGGGCGUAAAGCGUGCGCAGGCGGUUUUGUAAGACAGAGGUGAAAUCCCCGGGCUCAACCUGGGAACUGCCUUUGUGACUGCAAGGCUAGAGUACGGCAGAGGGGGAUGGAAUUCCGCGUGUAGCAGUGAAAUGCGUAGAUAUGCGGAGGAACACCGAUGGCGAAGGCAAUCCCCUGGGCCUGUACUGACGCUCAUGCACGAAAGCGUGGGGAGCAAACAGGAUUAGAUACCCCGGUAGUCCCUGUCUCUUAUAC
RNAcentral lists this ribosomal RNA (301 nucleotides) under uncultured bacterium. RNAcentral's name for it is "partial 16S ribosomal RNA". It matches the Rfam family "Bacterial small subunit ribosomal RNA", at positions 509 to 807 of the family's 1533-position model. The record is from RNAcentral.